GCUGAGAUAGUCUAAUUGGUAAAACAAUGGAUUCAUGCUCCAUAUUUGUGGGUUCGAGUCCCACUCUCAGCA
RNAcentral lists this transfer RNA (72 nucleotides) under Naegleria fowleri. It matches the Rfam family "tRNA". From Rfam's summary of the family: Transfer RNA (tRNA) molecules are approximately 80 nucleotides in length. Their secondary structure includes four short double-helical elements and three loops (D, anti-codon, and T loops). Further hydrogen bonds mediate the characteristic L-shaped molecular structure. tRNAs have two regions of fundamental functional importance: the anti-codon, which is responsible for specific mRNA codon recognition, and the 3' end, to which the tRNAs corresponding amino acid is attached (by aminoacyl-tRNA synthetases). tRNAs cope with the degeneracy of the genetic code in two manners: having more than one tRNA (with a specific anti-codon) for a particular amino acid; and 'wobble' base-pairing, i.e. permitting non-standard base-pairing at the 3rd anti-codon position. The record is from Rfam by way of RNAcentral. Lineage: Eukaryota; Heterolobosea; Eutetramitea; Acrasida; Naegleriidae.